This 943-nucleotide ribosomal RNA is filed under the name uncultured archaeon. RNAcentral's name for it is "bacterial SSU rRNA". It matches the Rfam family "Archaeal small subunit ribosomal RNA", at positions 1 to 922 of the family's 1478-position model. The record is from RNAcentral.
UCUGGUUGAUCCUGCCGGACCCGACUGCUAUCGGAUUGGGAUUUAGCCAUGUUAGUUGUGCGUUCCUUGGCUACAGGGGACGCAGCGUACGGCUCAGUAACACGUAGUCAACCUGCCCUGGAGACGUGGACAAACCCGGGAAACUGGGGCCUAUCCGCGAUAGAUGACCUCAUCUGGAAGGAGUGGUCGUCCAAAGGGCGGCACGGGUAUGCUCCGUGCCUUUCGCUCCAGGAUGGGACUGCGGCCGAUCAGGCUGUUGGCGGGGUAAUGGCCCACCAAACCUGUAACCGGUACGGGCCUUGAGAGAGGGGGCCCGGAGAUGGACACUGAGAGAAGGGUUCAGGUCCUACGGGGCGCAGCAGGCGCGAAACCUUCGCAAUGCGCGAAAGCGUGACGAGGUUAAUCCGAGUGGUCCCCGCUGAGGGGAUCUUUUGUCGACUGUAAAAAGACCGGUGAAUAAGGGGAGGGCAAGUCUGGUGUCAGCCGCCGCGGUAAUACCAGCUCCUCGAGUGGUCGGGGCGAUUAUUGGGCCUAAAGCAUCCGUAGCCGGUUCCGUAGGUCUUCUGUCAAAUCCAACGGCUCAACCGUUGGCCCGCAGAAGAUACCGCGGGACUAGGAGGCGGGAGAGGUGGGCGGUACUCCACGUGUAGGGGUAAAAUCCUUUGAUCCGUGGAAGACCACCAGUGGCGAAGGCGGCCCACCAGAACGCGCUCGACGGUGAGGGAUGAAAGCCGGGGGAGCGAACCGGAUUAGAUACCCGGGUAGUCCCAGCCGUAAACGAUGCAAGCUAGAUGAUUCGGUCGCAAAUCGCGAUCGAAGUGUCGCAGGGAAGCCGUUAAGCUUGCCGCCUGGGGAGUACGGUCGCAAGACUGAAACUUAAAGGAAUUGGCGGGGGAGCACCACAAGGGGUGAAGCCUGCGGUUCAAUUGGACUCAACGCCCGG